Molecule: ribosomal RNA, 494 nt
Filed under: uncultured bacterium
Lineage: Bacteria
Description: partial 16S ribosomal RNA
Rfam family: Bacterial small subunit ribosomal RNA
Source: RNAcentral
GACGAACGCUGGCGGCGUGCUUAACACAUGCAAGUCGAACGGUGAAGCGCCUUCCUUUUUGGUGGGUGUGGAUGAGUGGCGAACGGGUGAGUAACACGUGAGUAACCUGCCCCCUCCUUCUGGAUAACCGCAUGAAAGUGUGGCUAAUACGGGAUAUUCUGGGUCUGUCGCAUGAUGGGUCUGGGAAAGAUAUUGUUUCGGUGGGGGAUGGGCUCGCGGCCUAUCAGCUUGUUGGUGGGGUGAUGGCCUACCAUGGCGGUGACGGGUAGCCGGCCUGAGAGGGUGGACGGUCACACUGGGACUGAGGACCGGCUCAGACUCCUACGGGAGGCGGCAGUGGGGAAUAUUGCACAAUGGGCGCAAGCCUGAUGCAGCCACGCCGCGUGAGGGAUGGAGGCCUUCGGGUUGUGAACCUCUUUCGCCAGUGAAGCAGGCCUGCCUCGUUUGUGGGUGGGUUGACGGUAGCUGGAUAAGAAGCGCCGGCUAACUACGUG